CGAGAUCGAAAGCUCCGGCGCCAGAGGAUGGGUCUGCGGCCUAUCAGGUAGUAGUGGGUGUAGCGUACCUACUAGCCUACGACGGGUACGGGUUGUGAGAGCAAGAGCCCGGAGAUGGAUUCUGAGACACGAAUCCAGGCCCUACGGGGUGCAGCAGGCGCGAAAACUUUACAAUGCCGGCAACGGCGAUAAGGGGACCUCGAGUGCCAGGUUACAAAUCUGGCUGUCGUGAUGCCUAAAAAGCAUUGCAUAGCAAGGGCCGGGCAAGACCGGUCCCAGCCGCCGCGGUAACACCGGCGGCUCGAGUGGUAACCGUUAUUAUUGGGUCUAAAGGGUCUGUAGCCGGCCGGAUAAGUCUCUUGAGAAAUCCAGCAGCUCAACUGUUGGGCUUUCAGGAGAUACUGUUCGGCUCGAGGCCGGGAGAGGUGAGAGGUACUUCAGGGGUAGGGGUGAAAUCUUGUAAUCCUUGAAGGACCACCAGUGGCGAAGGCGUCUCACCAGAACGGACCUGACGGCAAGGGACGAAAGCUAGGGGCACGAACCGGAUUAGAUACCCGGGUAGUCCUAGCCGUAAACGAUACUCGCUAGGUGUCGGCCACGGUGCGACCGUUGUCGGUGCCGUAGGGAAGCCGUGAAGCGAGCCACCUGGGAAGUACGGCCGCAAGGCUGAAACUUAAAGGAAUUGGCGGGGGAGCACCACAACGGGUGGA
RNAcentral lists this ribosomal RNA (710 nucleotides) under uncultured archaeon. Its description in RNAcentral is "bacterial SSU rRNA". It matches the Rfam family "Archaeal small subunit ribosomal RNA", at positions 181 to 892 of the family's 1478-position model. The record is from RNAcentral.